Non-coding RNA from Herpetosiphon aurantiacus DSM 785, 2977 nucleotides. Lineage: Bacteria; Bacillati; Chloroflexota; Chloroflexia; Herpetosiphonales; Herpetosiphonaceae. The record is from Rfam.
CCGAUGAUCAGCAGGAAUGCGAGUGAUGGAUGCCUAGGCGCACACGACCGAAGAAGGACGGGGACUCCCGCCGAAACGGGUAGGCGAGCCGGAGUCAGGCUGCGACCCUACCAUCUCCGAAUGGGGCAACCCCACCACCGUGAUGGGUGGUGAUCCGUAUCUGAAUCUAUAGGAUACGGAAGGGCACCGGGGGAACUGAAACAUCUCACGUACCCCGAGGAACAGAAACAAUUCUCGUAGUAGCGGCGAGCGAACCGGGAAGAGCCUAAACGGCGCACGUGUCAAGCAGGACAGCGUUGCGUGUGCCGGGUUGCGAGACCUCCAGAUUGGCAUGUCCUUGCCAGUAGCAAGUUACAAACGCGAGCUUUAGGGGAAUGGCCCUGGAACGGCCAACCAGAGCGGGUGAGAGUCCCGUACCCGGAAAGGCGAGCACUUGCGUGAGGGAUCUCAAGUACGACGGGACACGCGAAAUCCCGUCGGAAGCAGGGGUGACCACACUCCAAGGCAGAAUAUCGUGGGCGACCGAUAGCGCAGAGUACCGUGAGGGAACGGUGAAAAGCACCCUGGCGAAGGGAGUGAAACAGAUCCUGAAAUUGCUCGCAGACAAACCGUGGGAGGCGUAAGCUAACCGCGUGCCUUUUGGAGUAUGAACCGACGAGUUACCCUGUGUGGCAGGUUAAGGCAGCAACAGCCGGAGCCAGAGCGACAGCGAGUCUGAAUAGGGCGAUGGUCGCACAGGGUAGACCCGAAACCAGGUGAGCAACCCAUGGUCAGACUGAAGCGACCGUAACAGGUCGUGGAAGGUCGAACUAGUGUCCGUUACAAAGGGCUUGGAUGAACUGUGGGUAGCGGAGAAAUUCCAAUCGAACCUGGAGAUAGCUGGUUCUCCCCGAAAUGUAUUGAGGUACAGCCGUGGAACGGGGCUGCUGGGGGUAAAGCGCUGUUGGCGUGCGGGGGGCGCGAGCCUUACCAAGCGCUGGCAAACUGGGAAUACCAGCAGCCUACACCACGAGUGAGACGGUGGGUGCGAACAUUCAUCGUCAAGAGGGCAACAACCCAGACCCGCCGCUAAGGUCCCGAAGUAUCGGCUCAGUGGGCAAGGGCGUGAUCGGACGGAGACAACCAGGAGGUUGGCUUAGAAGCAGCCACCCUUGAAAGAGUGCGUAACAGCUCACUGGUUUAGUCCGGUUGCAUCGACAAUCCACCGGGGCUAAGUCGAUCACCGAAGCGCGGGAUUAUCCUUUGUGGAUAAUGGUAGGGGAGCGUUGUGGGGGCAUCGAAGCGGGCGCGGAAGCGCAACCCGUGGAGCGACCACAAGUGCGAAUGUCGGUAUGAGUAACGAUACGAGGGGUGAGAACCCCCUCCACCGAAAGUCUAAGGGUUCCGCCGCACGGGCACUCCGCGGCGGGGAAGUCGGGCCUAAGGCGAGGGCGCGAGCCGUAGCUGAUGGACACGCCGUUGAUAAUCGGCGACCACACCCAGAACGUUUGAACGUGACUGAGAUGCUGAUGGGGAAUCCGAGCGACGAGACGAGCGUCGUUCACGCUGGUAGGGAGAAUGAUGUGGCAAAUCCCAUCGUUCGUUGACCGAGAAGCAAGUACGAGCGAAUUCUUUCGGGAAUUGGCGAGUCGGAUGGACCUAGGCAGCCGCGAAAGGCUUGGGCACGGAGGACUGGGUGUGCCCGUACCGCACACCGACACAGGUAGACAGGUCGAGGAGACCAAGGUGGACGAGCGAAUCCCGGUUAAGGAACUCGGCACGAAUGACCCCGUAACUUCGGGAAAAGGGGUGCUCGCUUUGGUGAAGCCCAUACGGGUGGAGGCUGAGGCGAGUCGCAGCAAAGAGGCCCAGGCGACUGUUUAACAAAAACACAGGUCGGUGCGAACGCGAAACAGCGGACGUAUACCGGCUGACACCUGCCCAGUGCUGGAAGGUUAAGGGGAGAUGUGCAAGCGUUGAACCGAAGCCCCAGUAAACGGCGGCCGUAACUAUAACGGUCCUAAGGUAGCGAAAUUCCUUGUCGGGUAAGUUCCGACCCGCACGAAAGGUAGAACGAUCUGGGCGCUGUCUCAACCGGGAGCUCGGUGAAAUUGCAAGGGCCGUGAAGAUGCGGCCUACUCGCAGCAGGACAAAAAGACCCCGUGGAGCUUGACUACAGCUUGCCAUCGGCGCGUGUGUGGCGCUGCGUAGGAUAGGUGGGAGCCAGCGAAGCCGGACUUGCGGGUCUGGUGGAGGCGACGGUGAAAUACCACUCUGCGACAGAUAUGCGCCUCACCCUUGGCCAUGAAGCUGGCAAGGGGACGGUGGCUGGUGGGUAGUUUGACUGGGGCGGUCGCCUCCCAAAAAGUAACGGAGGCGCGCAAAGGUAGGUUCAGGCCGGAUGGCAACCGGCUGGGGCGUGCAAGCGCAGAAACCUGCUUGACUGCAAGGCAAACAGGCCGCGCAGGGACGAAAGUCGGCGCUAGUGAUCCCACGUGCCUGAGUGGAAAGGCCGUGGCGUAACGGAUAAAAGCUACCCCGGGGAUAACAGGCUGAUCCCGCCCAAGAGUUCACAUCGACGGCGGGGUUUGGCACCUCGAUGUCGGCUCGUCGCAUCCUGGGGCUGGAGUCGGUCCCAAGGGUUGGGCUGUUCGCCCAUGAAAGCGGCACGCGAGCUGGGUUCAGAACGUCGUGAGACAGUUCGGUCUCUAUCCGCUGUGAGCGAAGGAUGAUUGCGUGGGGCUGGCCCUAGUACGAGAGGACCGGGCUGGACAGACCGCUGGUGGACGAGUUGUGGGACGACCCGCAAGGCUCGGUAGCUACGUCUGGGACGGAGAACCGCUGACAGCAUCUAAGUGGGAAACCGGCCACAAGAUCAGUCAUCCAUGUGCAGAAAUGUAUGAGAGGCACCGUCGAGACGAGACGGACAACUGGGUUGCUGUGGAGGCCGUGUGAACGGUAGAGCAGACAACAACAGACAGCCGAGCGAUCAUCGGUU